RNAcentral lists this ribosomal RNA (253 nucleotides) under uncultured bacterium. RNAcentral describes it as "partial 16S ribosomal RNA". It matches the Rfam family "Bacterial small subunit ribosomal RNA", at positions 524 to 776 of the family's 1533-position model. The record is from RNAcentral.
UACGGAGGGUGCAAGCGUUAAUCGGAAUUACUGGGCGUAAAGGGCACGCAGGCGGAUUUUUAAGUGAGGUGUGAAAUCCCCGGGCUUAACCUGGGAAUUGCAUUUCAGACUGGGAAUCUAGAGUACUUUAGGGAGGGGUAGAAUUCCACGUGUAGCGGUGAAAUGCGUAGAGAUGUGGAGGAAUACCGAAGGCGAAGGCAGCCCCUUGGACGAAGACUGACGCUCAGGUGCGAAAGCGUGGGGAGCAAACAGG